Molecule: ribosomal RNA, 633 nt
Filed under: Enterococcus faecalis
Lineage: Bacteria; Bacillati; Bacillota; Bacilli; Lactobacillales; Enterococcaceae
Description: bacterial SSU rRNA
Rfam family: Bacterial small subunit ribosomal RNA
Source: RNAcentral
CGAGUGCUUGCACUCAAUUGGAAAGAGGAGUGGCGGACGGGUGAGUAACACGUGGGUAACCUACCCAUCAGAGGGGGAUAACACUUGGAAACAGGUGCUAAUACCGCAUAACAGUUUAUGCCGCAUGGCAUAAGAGUGAAAGGCGCUUUCGGGUGUCGCUGAUGGAUGGACCCGCGGUGCAUUAGCUAGUUGGUGAGGUAACGGCUCACCAAGGCCACGAUGCAUAGCCGACCUGAGAGGGUGAUCGGCCACACUGGGACUGAGACACGGCCCAGACUCCUACGGGAGGCAGCAGUAGGGAAUCUUCGGCAAUGGACGAAAGUCUGACCGAGCAACGCCGCGUGAGUGAAGAAGGUUUUCGGAUCGUAAAACUCUGUUGUUAGAGAAGAACAAGGACGUUAGUAACUGAACGUCCCCUGACGGUAUCUAACCAGAAAGCCACGGCUAACUACGUGCCAGCAGCCGCGGUAAUACGUAGGUGGCAAGCGUUGUCCGGAUUUAUUGGGCGUAAAGCGAGCGCAGGCGGUUUCUUAAGUCUGAUGUGAAAGCCCCCGGCUCAACCGGGGAGGGUCAUUGGAAACUGGGAGACUUGAGUGCAGAAGAGGAGAGUGGAAUUCCAUGUGUUAAAACCGG